ACUGUGAAAAAAUCCUUCUCUCACCCUACAGAUACCUGUACGGAGAACUUGGGAGGCAUUUUUAUAAGCUCAUUGUCAAGUGAAUGUUAAAGUCCCCAUUCACUGAGAAGCAAAGGGUGAAGAAGUGAGACCCUACAUGGCUUUUUAGUGCAUUGAUGGAGCAGAGACACGUCUAUGAACAACUGCCUAUGCAAACUGAUUACUCGGCAGUAUAAUUUAUCAGUUUGUAUGAGUAAGUGAGUGCUUCUCACUAUGGAUUUAGCUUGCACUUCAAUUUAGAACUAGAAGGAAUAAGUGGAAAUCAGGAGAAAUAUUAAAGACAUUCCAGUGUCACUGAGCAUGCCGAAACCUGAAAACAUGUUCCAUUAUCUUGCUUUGGAUUUAUGGAAAUUCUGAACAGUGAUGUGAGAGUGACUACAGUUUGAAGUAUCUGUUAAAUACAGCAACAUGACAUCACAAGGAUUGUUUUGGAGUCUUCUGGAUAUGAGAACAUUAUAAAAGGAAAUGGCUCACAUAUUAUGGUGGCUAAGAAGUCCUACGAUCUGCUGUCUUCAAACUGGAGAACCAUAAAUGUCAAUGGUGUAAUUCAGUCUGAAUCUGAAGGCCUAAGAACCAAGAGAAAUGAUGGUAUAAUUCCUGGUCUGAAUCCAAAAGCAGGAGAAGAUGUCCC
This 670-nucleotide long non-coding RNA is filed under the name Homo sapiens (human). RNAcentral describes it as "HSALNT0376170". The record is from RNAcentral. Lineage: Eukaryota; Metazoa; Chordata; Mammalia; Primates; Hominidae.